UCCAAUCUCCUUUCAGGCAGUUGUAGAGAACUAGAUCUCCUCUGAGGCUCAGUUCUCUCAACCACCUCUCAUGAGACCUGUGCUCUAAACCCCUCAUCAGCUUCAUUCUUUGGAUCCACUCCAGCACCUCAAUGUCCUUCUUGUAGCAAGGAACCCAAAACUGAACAUGGUCACUGGGGAGAACCUGACCUGUGCCUGAGCUCACAGAAAGGAGCCUGCAAACCACCAUCAACAGGGUUGUUCUGCUUCAGAAGAGGAGAUCACUACUGGGGAAUUCAGUGAAGGAAUACAGUGACAUGGUGGAGCAGAUAAGAGGGGAAUACAAGGGGCAAAUGCCACAGGAAGAGAGGAAACACUUUUGUCGACAGCAAAUCCACUGCUAGUCUCAAAAGGGCAACCCUCCUAACAAACUUGAUGGUGUGUUCUGCCUUGGGCAGAAACUGCUGAGUGUUAUGUACAGUGCUUGAACUUGAUUACUUCACGUUGUGCCACUCUAAUCACUCCUGAGUGUUAAUGUAUGUGUGUUAAG
Molecule: long non-coding RNA, 529 nt
Organism: Pogoniulus pusillus (Red-fronted tinkerbird)
Lineage: Eukaryota; Metazoa; Chordata; Aves; Piciformes; Lybiidae
Exons: 3
Source: RefSeq, a predicted model, not a curated record